UAGUUUAACCUUCGGGGGGACGCUUACCACUUUGUGGUUCAUGACUGGGGUGAAGUCGUAACAAGGUAGCGCUAGGGGAACCUGGCGCUGGAUCACCUCCUUAAACGAUGAU
This 112-nucleotide ribosomal RNA is filed under the name Vibrio alginolyticus. RNAcentral's name for it is "partial 16S ribosomal RNA". It matches the Rfam family "Bacterial small subunit ribosomal RNA", at positions 1431 to 1533 of the family's 1533-position model. The record is from RNAcentral. Lineage: Bacteria; Pseudomonadati; Pseudomonadota; Gammaproteobacteria; Vibrionales; Vibrionaceae. RNAcentral also lists the same sequence under 5 other names.